CGGCACCUGCAGAACUGCCUGUGCAUGGACAUCCUAUACUACCUCACUCCUGAGGGGUGAUGCUUCUGCAGGGCCUAUGAUCUGGUGCACAACUUUAGACACCAUCAUCCUGGAGCAGCUCUGCACCCUCACUAGCCAGAGUUUUGACAUCCUCAAGGCCAAGGCCACAUUCAAGACUUUGGACUUCAUUGAUGCACUUGUGCUGAGCAAGCUUAUCUGAUCUCCUGGGAUCUCUAAGAUGCUGGCAGCCUGGCCAGCUGGUCUGGCCCUGGACAUGCCUUCAGGGGCUGGUUAUGCUUCAUAACCUGUGUUGCGAUCCUGGUCAGAGUAAAACAUUCCAUGGGAACUCGGGCUGUGAGAACCAUCUUAACCAACUGACUGCAAAAACAUCCUUAUCACAUCCUGCUGGGCAAAGGCCCAACAGCCUGACUGCAGGAACAUCCUUAUCAUCUUCUACUGCGCAGCAAGCUGUACUGCCCAGAGCCCUCCCUCCCAGCCCCAUGAUUACCCCAGCCUGUGAGCGGCAGUGGGCGCUGACACUAAGCUGGUUUCCCCCUCCGCAGGGUUUUGCUAGUAGUAAGCCUGUGUUGCUGUUGAU
Molecule: long non-coding RNA, 598 nt
Filed under: Pongo abelii (Sumatran orangutan)
Lineage: Eukaryota; Metazoa; Chordata; Mammalia; Primates; Hominidae
Description: lincRNA
Source: RNAcentral